CCUACGGGAGGCUGCAGUAGGGAAUAUUGCUCAAUGGGGGAAACCCUGAAGCAGCAACGCCGCGUGGAGGAUGACGGUUUUCGGAUUGUAAACUUCUUUUGUUAGAGAAGAUAAUGACGUUAUCUAACGAACAAUCACCGGCUAACUCCGUUCCAGCAGCCGCGGUAAUACGGAGGGUGCAAGCGUUAUUCGGAAGGACUGGGCGUAAAGAGCGCGUAGGCGGGAUAGCAAGUCAGAUGUGAAAUCCUAGGGCUUAACCAUAGAACUGCAUUUGAAACUGGUAUUCUAGAGUAUGCGAGAGGAAGGUGGAAUUCUUGGUGUAGGGGUAAAAUGCGUAGAGAUGAAGAGGAAUACUGAUUGCGAAGGCGACCUGCUAGAGCAUAACUGACGCUGAUGCGCGAAAGCGUGGGGAGCAAACAGGAUUAGAUACCCGAGUAGUC
RNAcentral lists this ribosomal RNA (440 nucleotides) under uncultured bacterium. RNAcentral's name for it is "partial 16S ribosomal RNA". It matches the Rfam family "Bacterial small subunit ribosomal RNA", at positions 338 to 795 of the family's 1533-position model. The record is from RNAcentral.